Molecule: ribosomal RNA, 491 nt
Filed under: uncultured bacterium
Lineage: Bacteria
Description: partial 16S ribosomal RNA
Rfam family: Bacterial small subunit ribosomal RNA
Source: RNAcentral
AGUGAACGCUGGCGGUAGGCCUAACACAUGCAAGUCGAACGGCAGCACAGUAAGAGCUUGCUCUUACGGGUGGCGAGUGGCGGACGGGUGAGGAAUACAUCGGAAUCUACUUUUUCGUGGGGGAUAACGUAGGGAAACUUACGCUCAUACCGCAUACGACCUACGGGUGAAAGCAGGGGAUCUUCGGACCUUGCGCGAUUGAAUGAGCCGAUGUCGGAUUAGCUAGUUGGCGGGGUAAAGGCCCACCAAGGCGACGAUCCGUAGCUGGUCUGAGGGGAUGUAAGCGCCCUGUGGAGGGAAGCAAGGGCCCUGGCACCGAGGGAAGGCAGAGGGGGGGAAGUUAGGCAAGGGGGGGAAAGCUUGAACAAGCCAACCCGGUGGGGGGAAGAAGGCCUUCGGGUUGUAAACCCCUUUGUUGGGGAAAAAAAAGCAGCGGGUGAAACCCCCGGUGUUUGACGGGAACCAAAAAAAAAGGCCCGGCUAAAUUCGGG